RNAcentral lists this ribosomal RNA (253 nucleotides) under uncultured bacterium. RNAcentral's name for it is "partial 16S ribosomal RNA". It matches the Rfam family "Bacterial small subunit ribosomal RNA", at positions 524 to 776 of the family's 1533-position model. The record is from RNAcentral.
UGCGAAGGGGGCUAGCGUUGUUCGGAAUUACUGGGCGUAAAGGGCGCGUAGGCGGUGUGUCAAGUCAGGCGUGAAAGCCCCGGGCUCAACCUGGGAACCGCGCUUGAGACUGGCACGCUAGAGUUCGGGAGAGGAUGGUGGAAUUCCCAGUGUAGAGGUGAAAUUCGUAGAUAUUGGGAAGAACACCGAUGGCGAAGGCAGCCAUCUGGACCGACACUGACGCUGAGGCGCGAAAGCGUGGGGAGCAAACAGG